RNAcentral lists this transfer RNA (72 nucleotides) under Camelus ferus (Wild Bactrian camel). It matches the Rfam family "tRNA". From Rfam's summary of the family: Transfer RNA (tRNA) molecules are approximately 80 nucleotides in length. Lineage: Eukaryota; Metazoa; Chordata; Mammalia; Artiodactyla; Camelidae. The record is from Rfam by way of RNAcentral.
AGGGGGAUAGCUCAAUGGUGGAGCACAUGCUUAGCAUGCACAAGGUCCUGGGUUCAAUACCUAGUACCCCCA